RNAcentral lists this ribosomal RNA (309 nucleotides) under uncultured bacterium. RNAcentral describes it as "partial 16S ribosomal RNA". It matches the Rfam family "Bacterial small subunit ribosomal RNA", at positions 504 to 809 of the family's 1533-position model. The record is from RNAcentral.
AGAGACAGCAGCAGCCACGGGAAUACGUAGGUGGCAAGCGUUGUCCGGAAUUAUUGGGCGUAAAGGGCUCGCAGGCGGUUUCUUAAGUCUGAUGUGAAAGCCCCCGGCUCAACCGGGGAGGGUCAUUGGAAACUGGGAAACUUGAGUGCAGAAGAGGAGAGUGGAAUUCCACGUGUAGCGGUGAAAUGCGUAGAGAUGUGGAGGAACACCAGUGGCGAAGGCGACUCUCUGGUCUGUAACUGACGCUGAGGAGCGAAAGCGUGGGGAGCGAACAGGAUUAGAUACCCCUGUAGUCCCUGUCUCUUAUAA